GGACUACAGGGGUUUCUAAUCCUGUUUGCUACCCACGCUUUCGCGUCUCAGCGUCAAUGUCCGUCCAGGUCGCCGCCUUCGCCUCUGGUGUUCCUCCCGAUAUCUACGAAUUUCACCUCUACACCGGGAAUUCCGCGACCCUCUCCGGCAUUCAAGUCGUCCAGUAUCUCAUGCACUUCCUAGGUUAAGCCUAGGGCUUUCACAUGAGACUUAAACGACCGCCUACAAGCGCUUUACGCCCAAUAAUUCCGAACAACGCUCGCACCCUCUGUAUUACCGCGGCUGCUGGCAC
Molecule: ribosomal RNA, 292 nt
Filed under: uncultured bacterium
Lineage: Bacteria
Description: partial 16S ribosomal RNA
Source: RNAcentral